This 79-nucleotide non-coding RNA is filed under the name uncultured Faecalimonas sp. The record is from RNAcentral. Lineage: Bacteria; Bacillati; Bacillota; Clostridia; Lachnospirales; Lachnospiraceae.
ACCGCUAUCGAAAGAUAACGCUGAACGUGCAGAAGUCAGCAGAGGUCAUAUUAGCUGAAAGUUUUUUUCAGUGAAGGAC